UACGAAGGGGGCUAGCGUUGCUCGGAAUCACUGGGCGUAAAGGGUGCGUAGGCGGGUCUUUAAGUCAGGGGUGAAAUCCUGGAGCUCAACUCCAGAACUGCCUUUGAUACUGAAGAUCUUGAGUUCGGGAGAGGUGAGUGGAACUGCGAGUGUAGAGGUGAAAUUCGUAGAUAUUCGCAAGAACACCAGUGGCGAAGGCGGCUCACUGGCCCUAUACUGACGCUGAGGCACGAAAGCGUGGGGAGCAAACAGG
RNAcentral lists this ribosomal RNA (253 nucleotides) under uncultured bacterium. RNAcentral describes it as "partial 16S ribosomal RNA". It matches the Rfam family "Bacterial small subunit ribosomal RNA", at positions 524 to 776 of the family's 1533-position model. The record is from RNAcentral.